Long non-coding RNA from Micropterus dolomieu (smallmouth bass), 820 nucleotides. RefSeq lists it as uncharacterized. The transcript has 2 exons. The record is from RefSeq and is a predicted model, not a curated record. NCBI's taxonomy places the organism in Eukaryota, Metazoa, Chordata, Actinopteri, Centrarchiformes, Centrarchidae.
AUAUAUACGUAUAUAUGUACAGACUGAAUUUGUAUAUCUCGUUGAUUUAAACUCUCAGUCUGCAGCUGAAGUGACUCCUGAUCCUGAACCAGACUCCACUCCUGCUGCUCCUGCUGCUGAGGAAGAGGUGGAGGAAGAGGAAGUGGAGGAAGAGGAGGUGGAGGUGGAGGAGGAGUGUGUUAGCGCUCUGCAGCUUGUAGAAGAUUACGGCUGUGAGGCGGAGGAGGAGGAAGUCUUUUAGCUCCGCCCUGCUGACCUUUGACCUCCAGUGAAGAAACUCUCCGUCCGCUCAGACUGAGGCAGGUCCACUACGACGGAUCAAUGUUACAGAAAUCAACAACCAAUAUCAGCGAUCAGUUACACCAAGUUAGAUAAUCACUGAUCAGUAAAUAUCACUGCACUCUGAUGCUUUUUAUUGGAAUUGAUCGCUGAUCGUCUGAAUUGAUUCGGAACAUCGAGCGUCUGGUGUUCAGAUUGUAAAAAGUCGCUGUUAGACGUGUUUUUUAUAUCAAUCGAUUGUAAAUAGGAAGAUUCACAUUCCUGUAAAAUAUCAACAUGACUCAGAUGUUUUACUUUGUGUACUUUGAAAUCAAUGUGUACUUCGUGUACUUUUAAUGUGACUUUGUGUGUUUGUUGUUCCUGAUAAAAUGUAAAGAGACAAAAGAUAAUAAUGAGAAAACAACAUUCCCUGAGACAAAGAAAAACAGGAAGUCAGUCUUUGUCAGAAAGUUUUUCACUUUUCAUCACAAACAUCUGGAAACAAAUAUUUUAUUUAUUCCAUUUUUAUCAGCUGACCUCAAAAAUAAAGUAAUGAAACUUA